This 474-nucleotide ribosomal RNA is filed under the name Paenibacillus polymyxa. RNAcentral describes it as "bacterial SSU rRNA". It matches the Rfam family "Bacterial small subunit ribosomal RNA", at positions 57 to 513 of the family's 1533-position model. Lineage: Bacteria; Bacillati; Bacillota; Bacilli; Caryophanales; Paenibacillaceae. The record is from RNAcentral.
GCAAGUCGAGCGGACAGAUGGGAGCUUGCUCCCUGAUGUUAGCGGCGGACGGGUGAGUAACACGUGGGUAACCUGCCUGUAAGACUGGGAUAACUCCGGGAAACCGGGGCUAAUACCGGAUGGUUGUUUGAACCGCAUGGUUCAAACAUAAAAGGUGGCUUCGGCUACCACUUACAGAUGGACCCGCGGCGCAUUAGCUAGUUGGUGAGGUAACGGCUCACCAAGGCAACGAUGCGUAGCCGACCUGAGAGGGUGAUCGGCCACACUGGGACUGAGACACGGCCCAGACUCCUACGGGAGGCAGCAGUAGGGAAUCUUCCGCAAUGGACGAAAGUCUGACGGAGCAACGCCGCGUGAGUGAUGAAGGUUUUCGGAUCGUAAAGCUCUGUUGUUAGGGAAGAACAAGUACCGUUCGAAUAGGGCGGUACCUUGACGGUACCUAACCAGAAAGCCACGGCUAACUACGUGCCAGCC